This 699-nucleotide ribosomal RNA is filed under the name uncultured bacterium. RNAcentral's name for it is "bacterial SSU rRNA". It matches the Rfam family "Bacterial small subunit ribosomal RNA", at positions 138 to 857 of the family's 1533-position model. The record is from RNAcentral.
CACGGAUAACAUACCGAAAGGUAUGCUAAUACGGGAUAAUAUAUUUGAGAGGCAUCUCUUAAAUAUCAAAGGUGAGCCAGUACAGGAUGGACCCGCGUCUGAUUAGCUAGUUGGUAAGGUAACGGCUUACCAAGGCGACGAUCAGUAGCCGACCUGAGAGGGUGAUCGGCCACAUUGGAACUGAGACACGGUCCAAACUCCUACGGGAGGCAGCAGUGGGGAAUAUUGCACAAUGGGCGAAAGCCUGAUGCAGCAACGCCGCGUGAGUGAUGAAGGCCUUCGGGUCGUAAAACUCUGUCCUCAAGGAAGAUAAUGACGGUACUUGAGGAGGAAGCCCCGGCUAACUACGUGCCAGCAGCCGCGGUAAUACGUAGGGGGCUAGCGUUAUCCGGAUUUACUGGGCGUAAAGGGUGCGUAGGCGGUCUUUCAAGUCAGGAGUGAAAGGCUACGGCUCAACCGUAGUAAGCUCUUGAAACUGGGAGACUUGAGUGCAGGAGAGGAGAGUGGAAUUCCUAGUGUAGCGGUGAAAUGCGUAGAUAUUAGGAGGAACACCAGUUGCGAAGGCGGCUCUCUGGACUGUAACUGACGCUGAGGCACGAAAGCGUGGGGAGCAAACAGGAUUAGAUACCCUGGUAGUCCACGCUGUAAACGAUGAAUAGUAGGUGUCGGGGGUUACCCCCUUCGGUGCCGCAGCUAACG